AUAAACAGACCGGGGAGCCUGACGGAUCAGGCUGAGAGUUGGUUGCAUCGCCAAGACCCGUAUACCUGAUUUGGAUCAUGCCAACGUAGGAAGCUGCUGAAGAGAAAG
Molecule: non-coding RNA, 108 nt
Filed under: Clostridiales sp. EM6
Lineage: Bacteria; Bacillati; Bacillota; Clostridia; Eubacteriales
Description: Clostridiales sp. TPP sequence
Rfam family: TPP riboswitch aptamer (THI element)
About the family: Vitamin B(1) in its active form thiamin pyrophosphate (TPP) is an essential coenzyme that is synthesised by coupling of pyrimidine and thiazole moieties in bacteria. The previously detected thiamin-regulatory element, thi box was extended, resulting in a new, highly conserved RNA secondary structure, the THI element, which is widely distributed in eubacteria and also occurs in some archaea.
Source: RNAcentral